AAAAAGAAUACCUAAGUCGACCCCAGUGAGUCCAGUGGUGGAGAUAAGACUAAAAUCCAAGUCUGUUCCCGUUUAAAGCUCACAUUCUUAACCCCUGUGGAUAUGCUGCCUGGCAAGAAUUAUGUCUAUAAAGAGAACUAUGCCAUUUAAAAAUCAAUAUGUCCUUGGCAAUAUUUAGUGCACACCAUUAAUGUUAUAACUGAGUUCCAGGGGUAUCACACCAUUUUAUUUUAUUUUAUUGAAAGAUUUUAUUUAUUUACUUGCCAGAGAGAGAACAAGCAGGGGGAGUGGCAGAGAGAGAAGCAGGCUUUCCACUAAGCAGGGAGCCCAAUGUGUGACUUGAUCCCAGGACCCAGGGAUCAUGGCCUGAGCCAAAGGCAGAUGCCUGACAACUGAGCCAGCUAGGUGCUCCUAUUGCCCCAUUUUAAAGAAUCUAAAAGAACAUGGAUCCAUGAAAAUAGAUACUGGAAACAGAACAGUUUUACUCAAUGGUAUCUAUCUUGAUUCCCUACUCCCGUUUUAAGAUACCUGAGGCACUUUAAGCAGAGAAGGGUCAGCAAUAUUUGCCAAUUUUUAGUGGGGAUGUGUGAUCUGCUUCUUCAAAAGACAUCUGUGUAUUGGGUUUCAGGGCAAGGUGCUAUUUUCAGAAUCCAGGUAGAAUCUAACACAGUAAAACAAUGCCAAGGGAAAAGGAAGGAAAACAAAAAACUAAAGGAACACCCCUGCCCAUUGUUCCAAUUCUUCGGAAGUUCCUGAAAACGUAUGAAAAGCACUGUGUCCAGACGCAGACAGCUGUGUGUCCAGCCAUCAGACAGGACUUGAAAACCAGCAUCAACAACGAACAGAUUCUUAGGAAAUUUAUGCUUGUAAGACCUGGAGACUCCCCAACAAGCAUCUUACCCAUUUCCUUAGAACCUUUGCUCAUGACAAUUCGCGAUGAGUGUUAUAUGCUGGGGAAAGAGAUCUGUAUCUGGAGCCUUCAACUGAGCAACCCAGAGAUUGCCAGACUGGCUUCACUUCUGGAGUUGAAGGGGAGUGCCGCCUGCCCCUUUACCAGCCUGGAGCUCACUGAUUGCAGGAUGGAUCUGUGGUCUCUCCAGAGACUCGGGAGGGCUCUGCCACGCAGCCAUCUGCGUUCUCUCAUCCUCGAUUACAGCAGGUGAGGCU
Molecule: long non-coding RNA, 1167 nt
Filed under: Mustela putorius furo (domestic ferret)
Lineage: Eukaryota; Metazoa; Chordata; Mammalia; Carnivora; Mustelidae
Description: lncRNA (ENSMPUG00000028417.1)
Source: RNAcentral